Octodon degus (degu) is the source of this 102-nucleotide small nuclear RNA. The record is from Ensembl. Lineage: Eukaryota; Metazoa; Chordata; Mammalia; Rodentia; Octodontidae.
GUGCUCACUUCAGCAGCACAUAUACUAACAUUGGAAAGAUAUAGAGAAAUUAGCACGGCCCCUGCACAAGGAUGACACACAAGUGAAGCGUUCCAUAUUUUU